RNAcentral lists this ribosomal RNA (465 nucleotides) under Vreelandella stevensii. Its description in RNAcentral is "partial 16S ribosomal RNA". It matches the Rfam family "Bacterial small subunit ribosomal RNA", at positions 338 to 795 of the family's 1533-position model. The record is from RNAcentral. Lineage: Bacteria; Pseudomonadati; Pseudomonadota; Gammaproteobacteria; Oceanospirillales; Halomonadaceae.
CCUACGGGGCGCAGCAGUGGGGAAUAUUGGACAAUGGGCGAAAGCCUGAUCCAGCCAUGCCGCGUGUGUGAAGAAGGCCUUCGGGUUGUAAAGCACUUUCAGUGGGGAAGAAAGCCUUGGGGCUAAUACCCUCGAGGAAGGACAUCACCCACAGAAGAAGCACCGGCUAACUCCGUGCCAGCAGCCGCGGUAAUACGGAGGGUGCGAGCGUUAAUCGGAAUUACUGGGCGUAAAGCGCGCGUAGGCGGUCUGAUAAGCCGGUUGUGAAAGCCCCGGGCUCAACCUGGGAACGGCAUCCGGAACUGUCAGGCUAGAGUGCAGGAGAGGAAGGUAGAAUUCCCGGUGUAGCGGUGAAAUGCGUAGAGAUCGGGAGGAAUACCAGUGGCGAAGGCGGCCUUCUGGACUGACACUGACGCUGAGGUGCGAAGGCGUGGGUAGCAAACAGGAUUAGAUACCCCGGUAGUC